AGAGUUUGAUCCUGCCUCAGGAUGAACGCUGGCGGUCUGCUUAACACAUGCAAGUCGAACGCAUCUUUCGGGGUGAGUGGCGGACGGGUGAGUAACGCGUGAGAAUCUGCCUAGAGGUCGGGGACAACCAUUGGAAACGAUGGCUAAUACCGGAUAUGCCUUACGGGGUGAAAGAUUAAUUGCCUUUAGAAGAGCUCGCGUCUGAUUAGCUAGUUGGUAGGGUAAAAGCCUACCAAGGCAUCGAUCAGUAGCUGGUCUGAGAGGAUGACCAGCCACACUGGGACUGAGACACGGCCCAGACUCCUACGGGAGGCAGCAGUGGGGAAUUUUCCGCAAUGGGCGAAAGCCUGACGGAGCAAGACCGCGUGAGGGAGGAAGGCUCUUGGGUCGUAAACCUCUUUUGUCAGGGAAGAACAAAAUGACGGUACCUGACGAAUCAGCAUCGGCUGACUCCGUGCCAGCAGCCGCGGUAAUACGGAGGAUGCAAGCGUUAUCCGGAAUUAUUGGGCGUAAAGCGUCCGCAGGUGGCUGAUCAAGUCUGCGGUCAAAGACCGGGGCUUAACCCUGGAAAGGCCGUGGAAACUGAUCAAGCUAGAGUACCGUAGGGGUAGAGGGAAUUCCCGGUGUAGCGGUGAAAUGCGUAGAGAUCGGGAAGAACAUCGGUGGCGAAAGCGCUCUACUGGACGGUGACUGACACUCAGGGACGAAAGCUAGGGGAGCGAAUGGGAUUAGAUACCCCAGUAGUCC
RNAcentral lists this ribosomal RNA (747 nucleotides) under uncultured cyanobacterium. RNAcentral's name for it is "bacterial SSU rRNA". It matches the Rfam family "Bacterial small subunit ribosomal RNA", at positions 8 to 796 of the family's 1533-position model. The record is from RNAcentral. Lineage: Bacteria; Bacillati; Cyanobacteriota.